This 74-nucleotide transfer RNA is filed under the name Klebsiella oxytoca. RNAcentral's name for it is "tRNA-Asp". It matches the Rfam family "tRNA". From Rfam's summary of the family: Transfer RNA (tRNA) molecules are approximately 80 nucleotides in length. Their secondary structure includes four short double-helical elements and three loops (D, anti-codon, and T loops). Further hydrogen bonds mediate the characteristic L-shaped molecular structure. tRNAs have two regions of fundamental functional importance: the anti-codon, which is responsible for specific mRNA codon recognition, and the 3' end, to which the tRNAs corresponding amino acid is attached (by aminoacyl-tRNA synthetases). tRNAs cope with the degeneracy of the genetic code in two manners: having more than one tRNA (with a specific anti-codon) for a particular amino acid; and 'wobble' base-pairing, i.e. permitting non-standard base-pairing at the 3rd anti-codon position. Lineage: Bacteria; Pseudomonadati; Pseudomonadota; Gammaproteobacteria; Enterobacterales; Enterobacteriaceae. The record is from RNAcentral.
GGCCCGGUGGCUCAGUUGGUUAGAGCGCCGCCCUGUCACGGCGGAGGUCGUCGGUUCGAGUCCGAUCUGGGUCG